CGCGCAGGCGGUUCGUCAAGUCCCGUGUGAAAGCCCCCCGGCUCAACUGGGGAAUUGCGCGGGAAACUAGCGAGCUUGAGUUCGGGAGAGGGAAGCGGAAUUCCGGGUGUAGCGGUGAAAUGCGCAGAUAUCCGGAGGAACACCAGUGGCGAAGGCGGCUUCCUGGACCGAUACUGACGCUGAGGCGCGAAAGCCAGGGGAGCGAACG
Molecule: ribosomal RNA, 208 nt
Filed under: uncultured bacterium
Lineage: Bacteria
Description: partial 16S ribosomal RNA
Rfam family: Bacterial small subunit ribosomal RNA
Source: RNAcentral